CCGAGGGCACGCAGCUGGAACUCGAACGCGCUGGAACCGACUCCAGCGAGCCAGCCCCUCCCGGAGGCAUUCCUUGCUGCCGCGGCCAGGAAAAUUGUGUGCAUAAAUCCCAUAAAAUCCCGCGAUGUGGAGCCGACGCUGAGCUUACCCAGAACAAAAUCUGCUAAUGAUCGCCGCUUGCCAGGAGCCCACAGAAAAACCAUCAGACGUGUCGCAACCCCCCGCCUGCCUCCUGCCUGAGUCCGUUCUAAUAAGGCCUCUUUUCAUAAGUUUAUAAAAACACUUUGUUUGGAUUGCAUUGGGCCUUUACUUCAUCUUAGUUGAAUGCUGACCAUUUGUGGGGCCAAAGGGGCUGUGACCAACCCUAAGUUUUCAGACCCAGAGAAAACAACAGAGCCUGGCGCAGAGAUGCGUGAGAAGUUCUGAUGAGCGAAAUGGACUCAGGAACCAAAGUUGAUUCAAGCAAGACGAAGGAGGCCCAGGUGCCCGUGGAGGUGGAGUGGAUUCUGAAAUUCCUAGAAACGGACAUGGGAUACUUAUUCUGAGUAUUUGGACAGAGUGUCACUUUGGGAAAAACGUCAGGCCUGUUAGCUCUAAAGACAAGCAGCCAACAAAGAUCAGCAACAGAGACCAGCAACUGGAAGAACUGCCUGCCACAUGGCAUCUAGCAUUAGCCAGUAUUGAUCAUCGGCAGCAGCUGGCAAUGCAGAGACCUGCAACUGGCAGAAUCAAUAGACAGUGUCUGGCAUUUGCUGGGCCCAACCAGUGGGACUGGGGCCCAGUGGUGUAGCAUCAAGGCCCAGGGGCACUAGCAGAGCUGCAUUUCACCAAUACCUGAUUGUUAUCUGAACGAAAGAACCCUCAGCUGAUAGAUGACAAUUGGUGACCACAGGAGCCACCUCCUUUUUGAGGUUCUCCAGAAAGAGUACAGACAAUGGUGAUGAUUGGUACAGAGUUGCCUCAUAAGUGACAGGUGGUCCCUUGAACCUUUUGCUUCAGUGUCAUCAUCUAUGCCUGGUGAGGUCUAGUGCUGGCUGUCCUUGCAAUGUGGGCCCCCAACCCCACCCCGUGGUGCUCCCAACUGCCCUCGCUGCCUGUGUGUUUUGUACUGCAGCCAGUUGUCAAUCGCUCUCUCUGCCUCCUUUUUUUUUUU
Long non-coding RNA from Octodon degus (degu), 1153 nucleotides. RefSeq lists it as uncharacterized. The record is from RefSeq and is a predicted model, not a curated record. The transcript is spliced from 4 exons. Lineage: Eukaryota; Metazoa; Chordata; Mammalia; Rodentia; Octodontidae.